Molecule: transfer RNA, 77 nt
Filed under: Pedosphaera parvula Ellin514
Lineage: Bacteria; Pseudomonadati; Verrucomicrobiota; Pedosphaerae; Pedosphaerales; Pedosphaeraceae
Description: tRNA-Arg
Source: RNAcentral
GCUCUCAAGGUGUAAGAGUUCUGCAUCUCUCCGUGCGAAGGAGAGGGUUCAUGGUGCAAGUCCAUGUGAGAGCACCA